Molecule: ribosomal RNA, 482 nt
Filed under: uncultured bacterium
Lineage: Bacteria
Description: partial 16S ribosomal RNA
Rfam family: Bacterial small subunit ribosomal RNA
Source: RNAcentral
AUUGAACGCUGGCGGCAUGCCUUACACAUGCAAGUCGAACGGUAACAGGUCUUCGGAUGCUGACGAGUGGCGAACGGGUGAGUAAUACAUCGGAACGUGCCCGAUCGUGGGGGAUAACGAAGCGAAAGCUUUGCUAAUACCGCAUAAGAUCUACGGAUGAAAGCAGGGGACCGCAAGGCCUUGCGCGAACGGAGCGGCCGAUGGCAGAUUAGGUAGUUGGUGGGAUAAAAGCUUACCAAGCCGACGAUCUGUAGCUGGUCUGAGAGGACGACCAGCCACACUGGGACUGAGACACGGCCCAGACUCCUACGGGAGGCAGCAGUGGGGAAUUUUGGACAAUGGGCAAAAGCCUGAUCCAGCCAUGCCGCGUGCAGGAUGAAGGCCUUCGGGUUGUAAACUGCUUUUGUACGGAACGAAAAGACUCUGGUUAAUACCUGGGGUCCAUGACGGUACCGUAAGAAUAAGCACCGGCUAACUACGUG